ACGGGGUGCAGCAGGCGCGAACACUUUACAAUGCGGGAAACCGCGAUAAGGGAACCCCGAGUGCCAGCAUCAAAUGUUGGCUGUCCAGAUGAUUAAAAAUCAUUUGUUAGCAAGGGCCAGGCAAGACCGGUGCCAGCCGCCGCGGUAACACCGGCGGCCCGAGUGGUAGCCGUUUUUAUUGGGUCUAAAGGGUCCGUAGCCGGCCUGAUAAGUCCUUUGGGAAAUCUGGCAGCUUAACUGUCAGGCUUCUAAGGGAUACUGUCAGGCUUGGGACCGGAAGAGGUAAGGGGUACUCCAGGGGUAGGAGUGAAAUCUUGUAAUCCCUGGGGGACCAUCUGUGGCGAAGGCGCCUUACCAGAACGGGUCCGACGGUGAGGGACGAAAGCUAGGGGAGCAAACCGGAUUAGAUACCCGGGUAGUCCUAGCUGUAAACGAUGCUCGCUAGGUGUCAGACACGGUGCGACCGUGUUUGGUGCCGCAGGGAAGCCGUUAAGCGAGCCACCUGGAAGUACGUCGCAAGGC
Molecule: ribosomal RNA, 522 nt
Filed under: uncultured archaeon
Lineage: Archaea
Description: bacterial SSU rRNA
Rfam family: Archaeal small subunit ribosomal RNA
Source: RNAcentral